This 2518-nucleotide long non-coding RNA is filed under the name Homo sapiens (human). Its description in RNAcentral is "NR2F1 regulatory antisense RNA 1, transcript variant 17 (NR2F1-AS1)". The record is from RNAcentral. Lineage: Eukaryota; Metazoa; Chordata; Mammalia; Primates; Hominidae.
GUCUCAGCUCGAGCAUUCCUAGCGCCAACACGCCCUCAGCAGGUAGAUGAAACUCAAGAGAAAAGGUGUGGAUAAAUGAAACUAGCCCAUGAUGAACCUGUUUUCUCCGUGACCACAAUAUUAACCAGGAUGAAUGGCGGUGGCAGUGGGCCUGCAUCACAGGUUGCAGCAGAUGUUCUCAAUAUUUCUAUUAAAAUUUCCUUAUUUCCAUAUGCAAGAGGAGCCCCAGAGCUGCAUCCUUAUGGUAGCUACCAUGCCGUGAUGUAAGCUGCCAUUCACUGGGGAGCUUUGGCAAUAGAAUUGGCUAGAUCAGGAAGCCUAUGUCAACUAUGGAACAACAACUUGCAGCUCAUCUCUAUUGAUGAUACACUGCCUCUAGGACUGGGACAGAUAGCCACUGAGUACCUGCUUCAAAUCACCCUGCACGUUUUCUCUUUGGAAAGAUAAGCACUGGAGAACCAUCUCGUUACCUUCAGCAGAAAUGGAAACAAAUCAAGACAUUAAGAAUGCCGCAGUGGACAGCAGUUAUGCAAGGUUCAGCAGAGGAAGUUUUCAAGAUGGUGUGCCUCACUAGCCAGAAAUCAGAAAAGAUCGAAGCUAGCCUUUUCAUCUCAGCUGCUCCUUAAAUCAGUGCAACCCCUCCAAAUUAAUGUGAAUUGAAACUUGCAUUGCUUUUCAACUUAAUUGAAUACUUACUAUAUGUGAACCACUGCACAAAAUAGGGGAAGAAGAUGUGGGAGACAAAGAUGUGGAGCCUGUCUUCAAUAAAUUUACAGUUAGUUUCAGGGUACAUUGUUUUUCUUCUGCUGUUAAUUAGGUGUAUCCCCAAGACAAUAAAUACAUGAAUGGAAAAGUAUAUUCUGUGUUUUAAGUCUCUUUAAUAAAAAACAAAACAAAAUCCAAAAAAACUCCUAACAUGGCAACUCAGGACAUUUUAAUCCUUUUUUUUGUUGUUGGGCUUCUGAUAGGAUCCAUUUUAUUGAUUCCAUAAAUAUUUAGUAGACUUUAGACAUAUUAAUACAUUGUAGUUUGAGUUAAUUUGCAUUAAAUUCUGUUUUUUUCCCCUUAGGUAUAGAUUGUCUGUUGGAAAAAUAUAUUGCUUGUGGAUUUCUUGGGGAGUGGGAAGGUGAAUUAUACCUGUUGUCUCUACAGUCCACUACCUUCCACACCCUAGGGCAGUGGUCCCCAACCUUCUUGGCACCAGGGAUCAGUUUCCUGGAAGACAAUUUUUCUGUGGAUGGUGUGGGGAUGGUUUUGGGAUGGAACUGUUCCACCUCAGAUCAUCAGGCAUUAGUUAGGCUCUCAUAACGAGUGCGCAGCCUAGAUCCCUCACAUGCACAGUUCACAGUAGGGUUUGCGCUGCUAUGAGAAUCUAAGGCUGCCACUGAUCUGACAGGAGGCAGAACUCAGGUGGCAAUGCUUACUGGCCCACUGCUCACCUCUUGCUGUGCGGCCUGGUUCCUAAUAGGCCAUGGACCCCCACAGACGGGUACUAGUCUGCAGCCUGUGGACCCCAGCCCUAGGGGCCUGCCAUUCUGAGUGAGUUAUUAGCAUGAAGAAGAGGAAGAUCUGGAUCAAACGUGGGUGAUGGUACUCAGAGACCCAAGAUAGGAUAGGGAUGGAACAAAAUCCAUCUGGGCAACGGCUCUAUGAAAAUUUGGCUAAGUAAUUAUUUCAGUAUUCAUUGUAUUCAUUGUCCUUCGUGUUCCAUAAGUUAAAUGACUGUCUAAUUUUUCCAAAAAUUUAUUUCUGACUUGAGAAUAAGUGUGUCAUGAUUUUCCCAGUGUAAAGACACUGAUAUAACUGUAGAUACCAGACAUUUUAUGUAGUGUCUAUGACACAUUUUAGUAUGUAUGAGCCAACAAUAGACAUGUCUUUGUCUUGAGGAGUGUCCAUCUGAAUUGAAAAUGUGUCAGCUUUUUUUUAACAUCAUCAACAGACUUCUUAAUUAAGCUGCCAAUACAUACUGCCAAUAGCACUGUGUGCUGUCUGAGAAAUGCAUUGUGUAAGUGCUAUUUCCAUCUUAUUAAAUAAACAAUGUUGCUCUGUAUAAACUGGAUUUAAAGUGUUCUUUGAAUGAGGCAUUAUAUUGCUCCAUAAAUAAUGUGAUGUGAAUUCUCAUAUGAUCCCUUUUAACUUAAUUUCUAAAAAAAUAUUAUUUGCUCCUCAGUAAGGAAUAGCUCUAAUUGGACUGGUAACUUUAGUGAUAUGAUUUGUCUGUAACAGGCUGAAUCGCCCCACUCCCAAACUCCUGGUCGUGAUACUGGAUAUUUGUUAUGCCACUUUUAGUUUGCAUGAGGUAUCUUCCAGGAAGUAUUAGUUAUUAACUUGUGUUCUACUAAACUGUAGAUAUUUAUUUCCUGUUCUGGAAGAUUUCUUGGAGUGUCCAUCUGUGCAUUCCUGGUGCCUAGUGUAGUCUUGCUAAUGGAAUAGCACCUUUAUUGGUGCUACUUAGGGGUUGGUAGCUUACAAUCAAUCUACUUGGAACGUAUCCAAAUAAACUGGAUAUUUUUAUACA